GACCGCUGCUUUGCAGCCAAGGCCACACGGACAGCCGGGUCGAAUGCCGA
RNAcentral lists this small RNA (50 nucleotides) under pig gut metagenome. RNAcentral's name for it is "Streptococcus sRNA SpF59 (ldcC RNA)". It matches the Rfam family "Streptococcus sRNA SpF59 (ldcC RNA)". The record is from RNAcentral.